This 72-nucleotide transfer RNA is filed under the name Ixodes scapularis (black-legged tick). It matches the Rfam family "tRNA". Rfam says of the family: Transfer RNA (tRNA) molecules are approximately 80 nucleotides in length. The record is from Rfam by way of RNAcentral. Lineage: Eukaryota; Metazoa; Arthropoda; Arachnida; Ixodida; Ixodidae.
CCCUGAUUAGCUCGGUUGGUAGAGCGUUCCACUGGAAAUGGAGGGCUCCUGGCUCGAUGCCCGGACCAGGCG